RNAcentral lists this ribosomal RNA (211 nucleotides) under Vibrio sp. OPT10. RNAcentral describes it as "partial 16S ribosomal RNA". It matches the Rfam family "Bacterial small subunit ribosomal RNA", at positions 358 to 561 of the family's 1533-position model. Lineage: Bacteria; Pseudomonadati; Pseudomonadota; Gammaproteobacteria; Vibrionales; Vibrionaceae. RNAcentral also lists the same sequence under 1 other name. The record is from RNAcentral.
GGAAUAUUGCACAAUGGGCGAAAGCCUGAUGCAGCCAUGCCGCGUGUAUGAAGAAGGCCUUCGGGUUGUAAAGUACUUUCAGUUGUGAGGAAGGGGGUAGUGUUAAUAGCGCUAUCUCUUGACGUUAGCAACAGAAGAAGCACCGGCUAACUCCGUGCCAGCAGCCGCGGUAAUACGGAGGGUGCGAGCGUUAAUCGGAAUUACUGGGCGU